This 72-nucleotide transfer RNA is filed under the name Myotis lucifugus (little brown bat). It matches the Rfam family "tRNA", at positions 6 to 65 of the family's 71-position model. Rfam says of the family: Transfer RNA (tRNA) molecules are approximately 80 nucleotides in length. The record is from Rfam by way of RNAcentral. Lineage: Eukaryota; Metazoa; Chordata; Mammalia; Chiroptera; Vespertilionidae.
GUUAGCUCAGUUAGUUAGAGCAUUGGCCUGAUAUGCCAAGGUGCCAAGGUUGCAGGUUCGAUCCCUGGUCAC